UGAGUAAAUCGGAUGAUCGCGUGCUUUAAUGAGCAUGAGGAAAGUCCGUGCUCCAUAGGGCAGGAUGCUGGAUAACGUCCAGUGGGGGCGACCCUAAGGCAAGUGCAACAGAAAUAUACCGCCUAGCCAUUUCUUGCUAGGUAAGGGUGGAAAGGUGAGGUAAGAGCUCACCAGCAGCUAGGCGACUAGCUGGCUCUGUAAACC
Molecule: RNase P RNA, 204 nt
Filed under: Tissierellia bacterium
Lineage: Bacteria; Bacillati; Bacillota; Tissierellia
Description: partial RNase P RNA component class A
Rfam family: Bacterial RNase P class A
About the family: Ribonuclease P (RNase P) is a ubiquitous endoribonuclease, found in archaea, bacteria and eukarya as well as chloroplasts and mitochondria.
Source: RNAcentral